UUUGAGCGUCAUUAAAUUCUCAACUCUCUUAUACUUUUUUGUAAAAGAGAGCUUGGACUGUGGA
RNAcentral lists this ribosomal RNA (64 nucleotides) under Agaricus blazei. RNAcentral describes it as "partial 5.8S ribosomal RNA". The record is from RNAcentral. Lineage: Eukaryota; Fungi; Basidiomycota; Agaricomycetes; Agaricales; Agaricaceae.